AUGUACCACGCGCACACUUCGGUUCCUCCGCGCCGUCCGCACCCACCUGGCGACUGCUCGCUACGUUUUUUUAGCC
Xanthomonas fragariae is the source of this 76-nucleotide non-coding RNA. NCBI's taxonomy places the organism in Bacteria, Pseudomonadati, Pseudomonadota, Gammaproteobacteria, Lysobacterales, Lysobacteraceae. The record is from Rfam.